Molecule: transfer RNA, 70 nt
Filed under: Metorchis xanthosomus
Lineage: Eukaryota; Metazoa; Platyhelminthes; Trematoda; Opisthorchiida; Opisthorchiidae
Description: tRNA-Asp
Source: RNAcentral
CCGUUCUUAGUUUAUUUGAAUGAUAGUUUGUCGUGCUAGAGGGAGGCUAUGAUUGAUAGUCUAGAUCGGG